AGAGUUUGAUCCUGGCUCAGAUUGAACGCUGGCGGCAUGCCUUACACAUGCAAGUCGAACGGUAACAGGUUAAGCUGACGAGUGGCGAACGGGUGAGUAAUAUAUCGGAACGUGCCCAGUUGUGGGGGAUAACUACUCGAAAGAGUGGCUAAUACCGCAUGAGACCUGAGGGUGAAAGCGGGGGAUCGCAAGACCUCGCGCAAUUGGAGCGGCCGAUAUCAGAUUAGCUAGUUGGUGGGGUAAAAGCCCACCAAGGCCACGAUCUGUAGCUGGUCUGAGAGGACGACCAGCCACACUGGGACUGAGACACGGCCCAGACUCCUACGGGAGGCAGCAGUGGGGAAUUUUGGACAAUGGACGCAAGUCUGAUCCAGCCAUGCCGCGUGCGGGAAGAAGGCCUUCGGGUUGUAAACCGCUUUUGUCAGGGAAGAAACGGCUUUGGUUAAUACCUGAGGCUAAUGACGGUACCUGAAGAAUAAGCACCGGCUAACUACGUGCCAGCAGCCGCGGUAAUACGUAGGGUGCAAGCGUUAAUCGGAAUUACUGGGCGUAAAGCGUGCGCAGGCGGUUAUGCAAGACAGAUGUGAAAUCCCCGGGCUNCACCUGGGAACUGCAUUUGUGACUGCAUGGCUAGAGUACGG
This 641-nucleotide ribosomal RNA is filed under the name uncultured bacterium. Its description in RNAcentral is "bacterial SSU rRNA". It matches the Rfam family "Bacterial small subunit ribosomal RNA", at positions 8 to 651 of the family's 1533-position model. The record is from RNAcentral.